CUUCCAAAGGCAGCUGUCAACAUCUGGGCCUGCAUUUAGGGCCAGACAUGGGGGUGGAGCUUGGUCCACAAUGACUCAGCUCUCUUGGGA
Molecule: non-coding RNA, 90 nt
Organism: Myotis davidii
Lineage: Eukaryota; Metazoa; Chordata; Mammalia; Chiroptera; Vespertilionidae
Source: Rfam